Non-coding RNA from Acanthosepion pharaonis, 112 nucleotides. The record is from the annotation of a GenBank genome assembly. NCBI's taxonomy places the organism in Eukaryota, Metazoa, Mollusca, Cephalopoda, Sepiida, Sepiidae.
UUAUGGCCAUAUCAUGUUGAAAUACCGGUUCUCUUCCGAUCACUGAAGUUAAGAAACGUCGAGCCUGGUGAGUAAUGACAUGAGUGACCGCUUGAAAAUACCAGGCACUGUA